Long non-coding RNA from Oncorhynchus masou masou (cherry salmon), 924 nucleotides. RefSeq lists it as uncharacterized. The record is from RefSeq and is a predicted model, not a curated record. The transcript is spliced from 3 exons. Lineage: Eukaryota; Metazoa; Chordata; Actinopteri; Salmoniformes; Salmonidae.
GGUGCCUAUGGAGCUGCUGCGCUUAUGGAGGCCGGAGGAGUGGCUUUCACGUGUACCAGCAGGUUAUCUGUGGCCGCAGAGGUCACACUACUGGUCGGUGCCGUGUUGGUUCCUCUAGGGGUCAAGGCAGCAGGCAGAGUACUCUGGUGUCGGCCCAGAUAUGGAAAGCUGUGAAAGCCUGUUUGCAGACGAAAAGAGAGGUCCCAAUAUGUGUCCCAAGAGACUAGGGGUCUCGCCCAUCUUCCCCAUUAUCCCCUGUGUACUUAGACCUGUGUUUUCUGUUUGUCUGUUGCCAGUUUGUCUUGUUUAUCAAGCUUACCAGUGUUUGUCCUGUCAGCUCCUGUCUUUUCCUAGCCUCUCUUUUUCUCGCCCUCCUGGUAUUUGACCCCUGCCUGUCCUGACCCUGAACUCGCCCGCCUAUCCACUCUGCCUGAUCCUGGCCCUGAGCCUGCCUGCCGUCCUGUACCUUUACCUCUGUUGCUGUAAUAAACAUUGUUACUUCAACAAGGUCUGCAUCUGGCUCUUAGCUUAUCUUGAUGUAUAAAUCUAUUACAGUUGGCCAACCCUGCUGGAGGUCUGCUGGGUGUGCAGGGUUCUAUUUCAGCCCAGCAAUACUUGAUAAUCUAGUACACUAUUGAUUGGCUGGAAUAGAAUUCAGACUAGAUUUUUUUUUGUUAACCUGAAAUGACUACUUGUUUCUACUCAAUAAUUGAUUGUUGUUUAGACUAAGAUGCUUAAUCUUUACGAGUUAGCUUAUUUGUACAUUUUUAAGUAAUUAAGUGUUGAUUAUUUGAAGUGAAGUGUUUAAACUUGUUUUAAUUCUUACUGUUAUUCAAAAUGAACUAGUAUGAAUGUUGAUUACUCACAUAUCACAAUCCUGCAAUAAAGAGGGGAAGGGGUUUGUUCUCUGUGCUGUAUUCCCAA